GUAAAAUUGCAGUUGAUNNUGUCAGUCUNNNNNANAGUAGAGGUNNNCGGAAUUCGUGGUGUAGCGGUGAAAUGNNUAGAUAUCACGAAGAACUCCGAUUGUGAAGGCAGCUCACUGGACUGCAACUGACACUGAUGCUCGAAAGUGUGGGUAUCAAACAGGAUUAGAUACCCUGGUAGUCCACACAGUAAACGAUGAAUACUCGCUGUUUGCGAUAUACAGUAAGCGGCCAAGCGAAAGCAUUAAGUAUUCCACCUGGGGAGUACGCCGGCAACGGUGAAACUCAAAGGAAUUGACGGGGGCCCGCACAAGCGGAGGAACAUGUGGUUUAAUUCGAUGAUACGCGAGGAACCUUACCCGGGCUUAAAUUGCAGUGGAAUGAUGUGGAAACAUGUCAGUGAGCAAUCACCGCUGUGAAGGUGCUGCAUGGUUGUCGUCAGCUCGUGCCGUGAGGUGUCGGCUUAAGUGCCAUAACGAGCGCAACCCUUAUCUUCAGUUACUAACAGGUCAUGCUGAGGACUCUGGAGAGACUGCCGUCGUAAGAUGUGAGGAAGGUGGGGAUGACGUCAAAUCAGCACGGCCCUUACGUCCGGGGCUACACACGUGUUACAAUGGGGGGUACAGAAGGCAGCUAGCGGGUGACCGUAUGCUAAUCCCAAAAUCCUCUCUCAGUUCGGAUCGAAGUCUGCAACCCGACUUCGUGAAGCUGGAUUCGCUAGUAAUCGCGCAUCAGCCACGGCGCGGUGAAUACGUUCCCGGGCCUUGUACACACCGCCCGUCAAGCCAUGGGAGNNNNGGGUNCCUGAAGUACGUAACCGCAAGGAUCGUCCUAGGGUAAAACAGGUGACUGAGGGUAAGUCGUAACAAGGUAACCA
Molecule: ribosomal RNA, 875 nt
Filed under: uncultured bacterium
Lineage: Bacteria
Description: partial 16S ribosomal RNA
Rfam family: Bacterial small subunit ribosomal RNA
Source: RNAcentral